Long non-coding RNA from Solanum stenotomum, 1049 nucleotides. RefSeq lists it as uncharacterized. Lineage: Eukaryota; Viridiplantae; Streptophyta; Magnoliopsida; Solanales; Solanaceae. The transcript has 2 exons. The record is from RefSeq and is a predicted model, not a curated record.
GGACAUAUAGUUCUUUUCCCCUCAAGCACCGCCUUUUGUGCCUUUGGACAAUAAAAGUUAGUCUGAAAGGGCAUAUGUGCCGCAUGCUAUGAUACACAAAAUUUUCCUCAUUUUACCCAUCCAUCAGCGGAGGCUAAGCAACCAGGCUACCUAUUUCACAUCAUUAAGUAUUAAAAAGUUUUAUCAUCCACAUGUCAUAAAUUAUUUUCCUAAUUUUGGUAGUUUGUGCAUGCAAUGUAUGGAGCUGUACGUUGGGAUGACAUCAUAUUGCUUCAUUGAUUGGGUGUAUCUCCUUUUGUUGAAGGAUACCUACUCAUUUUUGAUAACUUGUGUAACGUCUGAUGUUCAACUUCUCUUUCUUAUAGCAUGGUUUUACUGGUGGUCUUUGGGAUAUAUGAAUUUUAUCACUUUCAAAUGCAAAAAUGGAUAUUGACGAAUUCUUCAAACAAAAUGAGCUAUUGCUAUAUGAAAAAUUAAGUUUUUUACUUAUUAUUUUAUAAUGGGUGGCAGUAAAACCCGAGCCCAAAACCUCCCCAUGCAGUGAUACUAUGUUGAAGUGUUGACCAUGUCAUCUAAAGUCUUAAACUGUUGCGGAGAGUACAUUAAUAUAGAUUUAUUAUGUCUUUCGACAGUUAUGUUGUCUUGCUCAGGUAGUGAUAAAAGUUAAAAACUCAGUUAUUGCAGCCCUAGGCAUGAGGGCUUGGAAAGAGACACUCAGAAGAUCUCUUUCCAGUAAAACUAGGGGUGCUAAAAGUAGAGUGAUAUCAUUCUCAAUUAAAGUGGAGUGAUACAGUUGUUUUGUUCUCUUGUUGAUGUAAAGAUAAUUAAUUCACUCAAUCGUUGCAAACCCCUAGGCAUAGGGAUCUGGGCCAGAGUCUGAAAUCUUUUUCCUAACCUUGUAUCAAACGGAAGAAGGGCUGCAGAGAUUCAUGUGUGGCUCGAAGACCAGUUUGUUGUGCUGCUCAAGAGGAGAAGAAACAAUGCAAUGCAAUAUUCUUCUUCAUCUUUAUUAUUGUGAUGCACACAAGCUGGUCUGGACACAACUAUUA